AAGCGGGGACGACCCCGCCACUCCAUGUCGAUCCGGGGACGUCCCCU
Molecule: non-coding RNA, 47 nt
Filed under: Oxalobacteraceae bacterium IMCC9480
Lineage: Bacteria; Pseudomonadati; Pseudomonadota; Betaproteobacteria; Burkholderiales; Oxalobacteraceae
Also listed under: 1 other name
Description: Guanidine-II riboswitch aptamer (mini-ykkC)
Rfam family: Guanidine-II riboswitch aptamer (mini-ykkC)
About the family: Simpler in structure and has fewer highly conserved nucleotide positions than the ykkC-yxkD leader. Despite this each of its two stem-loop structures directly bind free guanidine. Therefore, mini-ykkC RNA motif represents a distinct class of guanidine-sensing RNAs.
Source: Rfam by way of RNAcentral